This 404-nucleotide ribosomal RNA is filed under the name uncultured bacterium. Its description in RNAcentral is "bacterial SSU rRNA". It matches the Rfam family "Bacterial small subunit ribosomal RNA", at positions 917 to 1333 of the family's 1533-position model. The record is from RNAcentral.
GGACCCACACAAGCGGUGGACCAUGGGGUUUAAUUCGUCAAUAAGCGAUUAACCUUACCCAGACUUGACAUCCCGAUCGCACUCUUUAGAGAUAAAGAGGUCAACUCGGUUGGAUCGGUGACAGGCGCUGCAUGGUCGUCGUCAGCUCGUGCCUUGAGGUGUUCGGUUAAGUCCGUAAACGAGCGCAACCCUCGUCCUGUGUUGUACUUUCACAGGAGACUGCCGAUUAAAAUCGGAGAAGGUGAGGAUGACGUCAGAUCAGCAUGGCCCUUAUGUCUGGGGCUACACCCGUGGUACAAUGGCAAGUACAAACCGAAGCGAAGCGGUAACGUGGAGCCAAUCGGAUUCAAAACUUGUCUCAGUUCGGAUUGAAGUCUGCAACUCGACUUCAUGAAGUUGGAAUC